GUUCUUUCUCUAUAGGACGAGGAUUAAGUGUUUCAGAAGUAUUAGCUAAUGGCCCACGGCCUUCACUUCAUUUCCUUGGAGAAGAUUUAUCUUUCUUUGUGUCUGCGCUGGGUAGCACGCUUACUGGUUUGGGAAACGCUCUUCUGCACCAUAAACACAACUCUGAUGUCUCUGUGUUUACUGGGUUGAAACUCAAGAGAUGAAGAGAAGGGUAUUUUCAAGAGCUCUUCAUGAACUCCAACAAGACUGGCUGCGGGUGCUGGCUGCGGGUGAAGCUCAGUGGUAGAGCCCUUGCCUAGCAUGUAUGAGGCCUUGGGUUCAAUCCCCGGCACCAAAUAAAAGGGGAGAUGGGAAAGACCUAAAAUGCAAAUCAGACUUGAUAUAUUUGAUCCCUCCCUGUGACUAAAAUUUAGAUUUCAUUUUAAAACAUGAAAAUAAUGAUUUGAAUGUUUCAGAACCACUGGAGUUGAAAAUUCGCACAUGGAUGAGUUCCAUGAAUUCACAUGCUUAAUUGCUCAUUAAGAUGGUUACCUUGGCAACAGCAACAUCAGAUGACAGCUUUUACAAUUCUGACCUAGAGAGAACCUUCUUAAAGUAACUCAACAGCAUUAAGCAAAACAUUAAGUAAAAAAUGAUGUCUUUACAAGCUACUAAAAUUUUUAUAUAUCAAAUAAAAAUUUCCUAUCAAGUAUAAAACUCUCAGAACUGUAGACAUUAAAUGCAGAAUGUAUAAUUAUUCUUUAUUACAGUUGAAUGGGCUUCUCUUAUAAACUGUGGUAUAAUUUCCAAUUUUUUGAUCUGACCAUUUCUGAAAAACAGAAAAAAAAAAUGAUACUGGUAAUAUCUAUAUGUGCAAUUUAACCUUUUAUAGGUAUGCUGUCAAUAAAACAUUCCACUUCAAUAAACAUUUAUUUUAU
Molecule: long non-coding RNA, 917 nt
Filed under: Ictidomys tridecemlineatus (thirteen-lined ground squirrel)
Lineage: Eukaryota; Metazoa; Chordata; Mammalia; Rodentia; Sciuridae
Description: lncRNA (ENSSTOG00000032304.1)
Rfam family: tRNA (bases 269-333)
Source: RNAcentral